AUAAUGGGUCAGCGACUUAUAUUCUGUAGCAAGGUUAACCGAAUAGGGGAGCCGAAGGGAAACCGAGUCUUAACUGGGCGUUAAGUUGCAGGGUAUAGACCCGAAACCCGGUGAUCUAGCCAUGGGCAGGUUGAAGGUUGGGUAACACUAACUGGAGGACCGAACCGACUAAUGUUGAAAAAUUAGCGGAUGACUUGUGGCUGGGGGUGAAAGGCCAAUCAAACCGGGAGAUAGCUGGUUCUCCCCGAAAGCUAUUUAGGUAGCGCCUCGUGAAUUCAUCUCCGGGGGUAGAGCACUGUUUCGGCAAGGGGGUCAUCCCGACUUACCAACCCGAUGCAAACUGCGAAUACCGGAGAAUGUUAUCACGGGAGACACACGGCGGGUGCUAACGUCCGUCGUGAAGAGGGAAACAACCCAGACCGCCAGCUAAGGUCCCAAAGUCAUGG
This 446-nucleotide ribosomal RNA is filed under the name Escherichia coli. Its description in RNAcentral is "partial 23S ribosomal RNA". It matches the Rfam family "Bacterial large subunit ribosomal RNA", at positions 612 to 1058 of the family's 2925-position model. The record is from RNAcentral. Lineage: Bacteria; Pseudomonadati; Pseudomonadota; Gammaproteobacteria; Enterobacterales; Enterobacteriaceae.